GCUAAAACAAUCAACAUUCAGCUCGGCCUCGUCGUGCUCGUCAGACUCGUGCAAUAGGUUUUUGUCUCACAAUUUUCCUAUUUUUCCUCCCGGUAAUAUCCUGCGCCUGCGUGCGCGCUACUCCCUGCAUUUCCUUUGAAAGCCUCCAUGGAAUCUCAUUUCCUCUACUCUAUUGCUCAUUACGAAGGGUUCCUGCAUGCGAUUUCUUAUUUUUCUUGAGUGAUAGGUAAAGCUGUGCCUGAGGUUUCUUUCCUUCUGCACGUUGACUGCAGAUACAUCGCCGAAUACUGACUGCCCCUACAUCACCGAACGUCUGCUGUGCACAUCGCGGAAGUCGGCUUUGCCAAUCACAAAAGCAAUAAAUCCAAUCCCUUGAAGUUUCCGUUCGACCCGACAUUGCCUGAUUUAUGAUGUGGGUCUCGACGCCUUAUCAAAUAUCAAUACAAGAGCUCAAGACACUUAACUCGCACACAUCAGAAAAGUUUGCGGCAGAUGCACUCAAUCCAGCAGCGUCAAAAUAGUGAAAACACCCUCAUUAGCAAGCACACACUCCCGAAUCUCCAUGGACUAUUAGGGGUGCAAAUGGACGGAGCCGAGCGGAGUAUCCCUAUGGACUAUAUUUCGCUGCUCCUCAAGUGACCAUUGGCCCAAAUGGUGCAGGGGUGCACGGCAAUGUUCAGUUGAACGAUGCAGCUGGCCCAUGGUUCAAUUCCACGUAAAAGAAAAUUUAAUUUUGAGGAAACAUAAAAGUGCCCUUAUCUCUAUUGCAAAUUCUACCAAGUGAUAGAAUUAUAAGAUUUCUUAAUUGAUUAUGUAUCCUAACAAAUGCCUAAUAGGGUAUUUUAAGGUGCUUUAAUGGCUGAGUAAUUUUUGUAGUGAUAGUCAUCUUGCUUCAAAGCCUGGAGCGGUGACACAAUAUAUUGCACACAA
Long non-coding RNA from Dendrobium catenatum, 930 nucleotides. RefSeq lists it as uncharacterized. The transcript has 3 exons. The record is from RefSeq and is a predicted model, not a curated record. Lineage: Eukaryota; Viridiplantae; Streptophyta; Magnoliopsida; Asparagales; Orchidaceae.